AUGGCGAAGCUGACCANCCAUGCCGCGUGUGUGAAGAAGGCCUUCGGGUUGUAAAGCACUUUAAGCGAGGAGGAAGGUUCGCUGGCUAAUAUCCAGCGGAAUUGACGUUACUCGCAGAAUAAGCACCGGCUAACUCUGUGCCAGCAGCCGCGGUAAUACAGAGGGUGCAAGCGUUAAUCGGAAUUACUGGGCGUAAAGCGUGCGCAGGCGGUUAUACAAGACAGGCGUGAAAUCUCCGGGCUUAACCUGGGAACUGCCUCCAUAACUGCAUAGCUAGAGUAUGGGAGAGGAAGGUAGAAUUCCGGGUGUAGCGGUGAAAUGCGUAGAUAUCCGGAGGAAUACCGAUGGCGAAGGCAGCCUUCUGGCCUAAUACUGACGCUGAAGUACGAAAGCGUGGGGAGCAAACAGGAUUAGAUACCCUGGUAGUCCACGCCGUAAACGAUGUCAACUAGCCGUUGGGUUCCUUGAGGACUUAGUGGCGCAGCUAACGCGAUAAGUUGACCGCCUGGGGACUACGGCCGCAAGGUUGAAACUCAAAUGAAUUGACGGGGGCCCGCACAAGCGGUGGAGCAUGUGGUUCAAUUCGAUGCCACGC
This 595-nucleotide ribosomal RNA is filed under the name uncultured bacterium. Its description in RNAcentral is "bacterial SSU rRNA". It matches the Rfam family "Bacterial small subunit ribosomal RNA", at positions 371 to 962 of the family's 1533-position model. The record is from RNAcentral.